Molecule: ribosomal RNA, 497 nt
Filed under: uncultured bacterium
Lineage: Bacteria
Description: partial 16S ribosomal RNA
Rfam family: Bacterial small subunit ribosomal RNA
Source: RNAcentral
GAUGAACGCUGGCGGCGUGCCUAAUACAUGCAAGUCGAGCGAACGGACGAGAAGCUUGCUUCUCUGAUGUUAGCGGCGGACGGGUGAGUAACACGUGGAUAACCUACCUAUAAGACUGGGAUAACUUCGGGAAACCGGAGCUAAUACCGGAUAAUAUUUUGAACCGCAUGGUUCAAAAGUGAAAGACGGUCUUGCUGUCACUUAUAGAUGGAUCCGCGCUGCAUUAGCUAGUUGGUAAGGUAACGGCUUACCAAGGCAACGAUGCAUAGCCGACCUGAGAGGGGGAACGGCCACACUGGAACUGAGACACGGUCCAGACUCCUACGGGAGGCAGCAGUAGGGAAUCUUCCGCAAUGGGCGAAAGCCUGACGGAGCAACGCCGCGUGAGUGAUGAAGGUCUUCGGAUCGUAAAACUCUGUUAUUAGGGAAGAACAUAUGUGUAAGUAACUGUGCACAUCUUGACGGUACCUAAUCAGAAAGCCACGGCUAACUACGUG